UCCCAUGUAGUUUAACUAAAACGGUAAGUUGCAAACUUGAGGAGAAGCNUUAAUAGCUUUAUGGGGA
RNAcentral lists this transfer RNA (67 nucleotides) under Nemertoderma westbladi. RNAcentral's name for it is "tRNA-Cys". The record is from RNAcentral. Lineage: Eukaryota; Metazoa; Xenacoelomorpha; Nemertodermatida; Nemertodermatidae.